UCUCCGUAGGUGAACCUGCGGAGGGAUCAUUACAGAGUUCAUGCCCUAACGGGUAGAUCUCCCACCCUAUGUUAUCAUCACUUUGUUGCUUUGGCGGGCCGUCAGGCCUCGGCUUGGCUACCGGCUCUCGCUGGUAAGCGCCCGCCAGAGAACCCCAAACCCUGAAUAUCAGUGUCGUCUGAGUACUAUAUAAUAGUUAAAACUUUCAACAACGGAUCUCUUGGUUCUGGCAUGAUGAAGAACGCAGC
This 248-nucleotide unclassified non-coding RNA is filed under the name plant metagenome. RNAcentral's name for it is "partial contains small subunit ribosomal RNA, internal transcribed spacer 1, and 5.8S ribosomal RNA". The record is from RNAcentral.